RNAcentral lists this transfer RNA (68 nucleotides) under Neotermes castaneus (southern dampwood termite). Its description in RNAcentral is "tRNA-Leu". Lineage: Eukaryota; Metazoa; Arthropoda; Insecta; Blattodea; Kalotermitidae. The record is from RNAcentral.
GCUAUUUUGGCAGAUAAGUGCGGUGGAUUUAGAAUCUAUUUAUGUGAGGUUUAUUUACACAUGUAGUA